This is a non-coding RNA of Ictidomys tridecemlineatus (thirteen-lined ground squirrel), 72 nucleotides long. The record is from Rfam. Lineage: Eukaryota; Metazoa; Chordata; Mammalia; Rodentia; Sciuridae.
UGGGAUGUGGCUCAGUGGCAGAGUGCUUGCCUAUCAUUCAAGAGGCCCUGGGAUCCAUCCCCAGCACCUCAA